Molecule: ribosomal RNA, 1804 nt
Filed under: Candidatus Omnitrophota bacterium
Lineage: Bacteria; Pseudomonadati; Candidatus Omnitrophota
Description: Candidatus Omnitrophica bacterium partial 23S ribosomal RNA
Rfam family: Bacterial large subunit ribosomal RNA
Source: RNAcentral
UCGGAACGAAGUAAGGGCAAAUGGUGAAUGCCUUGACAUUAAAAGUCUAUGAAGGACGUAGCAGCCUGCGAUAAGCUUCGGUGAGGUGGCAAGCAACCUUUGAUCCGGAGAUCUCCGAAUGGGGAAACCCAUCUGAGUAAACCUCAGAUAUCUUUUACUAAAUUCAUAGGUAAAAGAAGAAGACCUGGGGAAUUGAAACAUCUUAGUACCCAGAGGAAAAGAAAAUAAUAACCUACUUUGUAGGUCCAUUUCCCUAGUAGUGGCGAACGAACGGGAAUCAGCCCAAACCAUUAUUUUAGAGUUUUUAAUUCUAAGAUAGUGGGGUUGUAGGAUAAUACCUUUUGUUUAAUCAAGCUAAAGUUAUCAAUAGAAUUUUUAACAGAACAACCUGGAAAGGUUGACCAAAGAGGGUGACAGUCCUGUAUGUAAAAAAAAUUCUACUUUAGUGGUUUUAUCCUGAGUAGCAUGGGACACGAGAAAUCCUAUGUGAAUCUGCCGGGACUAUCCGGUAAGGCUAAAUACUUUUAAUGAUCGAUAGUGAACUAGUACCGUGAGGGAAAGGUGAAAAGCAUCCCGAUUAGGGAGAUGAAAUAGUAUCUGAAACCAUUUGCUUACAAGCAACGGGAGCCCAUAUGGGUGACCGUGUGCCUAUUGAAGAAUGAGCCAACGAGUUAAUGUAUCUAGCUAGUCUAAGGUCGACAGACCGUAGGCGAAGUGAAAGCGAGGUUUAACCGCCUAUUUAGCGUAACAUAUUAGACCCGAAGCCAAGUGAUCUAUCCAUGUCCAGGAUGAAGCUCCGCGAAGGCGGAGUGGAGGUCCGAACCCACUCGCCGUGCAACACGAGGGGAUGAGGUGUGGAUAGUGGUGAAAUGCUAAUCGAACUUGGCGAUAGCUGGUUCUCCUCGAAACAACUUUAGGGUUGGCCCUGUAAACUACUUUUAGGAGGUAGAGCACUGAAUGGGUGUGGGUGGUCUAUGACCUACCGUACCUAACCAAACUCCGAAUUCCUAAAAGAUUAUUACAGGAGUUAGACUGUGGGGGCUAAGCUUCACUAGUCAAAAGGGAAACAGCCCAGAUCGCAAUCUAAGGUCCCAAAAUCUAAAUUAAGUGUGAAAGGUAGUGUCACAACUUAUACAACCAGGAGGUUGGCUUAGAAGCAGCCAUCCUUUAAAGAAAGCGUAAUAGCUCACUGGUCAAGUCAUGAUGCGCCGAAAAUUUAACGGGGCUAAAUUUAGUACCGAAGAUGCGAAUUAUAUACUUAUUUAUAAAUAUAUAGUGGUAGAGGAGCAUUCCUAAGGCGUUGAAGCCGGAUCCGCGAGGGCCGGUAGAGCGUUAGGAAGAGAGAAUGUUGGUAUAAGUAACAAAAAUUGAGGUGAGAACCCUCAACACCGUAAGUCUCAGGUUUCCUGGGCAACGUAACUCGACCCAGGGUUAGUCGGUCCUAAGGCGAGGCCGAAAGGCGUAGUCGAUGGAACAGCUGGUUAAUAUUCCAGCACCACUUUUAGUUUGUUUAGUAUUGACGCAUGUGGAAUUUUGGAGCGUUUUUUGGCUAUAAACGUUGCGAAAGUGAAAGCGUAAGCAAAAGAGUGAUCCUCCGGGUGAACUCAAUUUUGAAAAACCUAGUGCCUAGAAAAUUUAUUAAGCGUUAAGUUAAAAGUGUCCGUACCGCAAACCAACACAGGUAGACGAGGCGAGUAGCCUCAGGUGUACGAGAGAACCUUCGUUUAGGAACUCGGCAAAACAGCGGCCGUAAGUUUGCAAUAAGGCCCGCCCUCUUUUAGAGGGCCGCAGCGAAAGAUCUCAA